This 565-nucleotide ribosomal RNA is filed under the name uncultured Delftia sp. Its description in RNAcentral is "bacterial SSU rRNA". It matches the Rfam family "Bacterial small subunit ribosomal RNA", at positions 351 to 918 of the family's 1533-position model. The record is from RNAcentral. Lineage: Bacteria; Pseudomonadati; Pseudomonadota; Betaproteobacteria; Burkholderiales; Comamonadaceae.
GCGUUGGGAGCUCUCCCAUAUGGUCGACCUGCAGGCGGCCGCACUAGUGAUUAGGCCUUCGGGUUGUAAACUGCUUUUGUACGGAACGAAAAAGCUCCUUCUAAUACAGGGGGCCCAUGACGGUACCGUAAGAAUAAGCACCGGCUAACUACGUGCCAGCAGCCGCGGUAAUACGUAGGGUGCGAGCGUUAAUCGGAAUUACUGGGCGUAAAGCGUGCGCAGGCGGUUAUGUAAGACAGAUGUGAAAUCCCCGGGCUCAACCUGGGAACUGCAUUUGUGACUGCAUGGCUAGAGUACGGUAGAGGGGGAUGGAAUUCCGCGUGUAGCAGUGAAAUGCGUAGAUAUGCGGAGGAACACCGAUGGCGAAGGCAAUCCCCUGGACCUGUACUGACGCUCAUGCACGAAAGCGUGGGGAGCAAACAGGAUUAGAUACCCUGGUAGUCCACGCCCUAAACGAUGUCAACUGGUUGUUGGGAAUUAGUUUUCUCAGUAACGAAGCUAACGCGUGAAGUUGACCGCCUGGGGAGUACGGCCGCAAGGUUGAAACUCAAAUGAAUUGACGGGG